RNAcentral lists this ribosomal RNA (253 nucleotides) under uncultured bacterium. Its description in RNAcentral is "partial 16S ribosomal RNA". It matches the Rfam family "Bacterial small subunit ribosomal RNA", at positions 524 to 776 of the family's 1533-position model. The record is from RNAcentral.
UACGUAGGGACCAAGCGUUGUUCGGAUUUACUGGGCGUAAAGGGCGCGUAGGCGGCGUGGUAAGUCACUUGUGAAAUCUCUGAGCUUAACUCAGAACGGCCAAGUGAUACUGCUGUGCUAGAGUGCAGAAGGGGCAAUCGGAAUUCUUGGUGUAGCGGUGAAAUGCGUAGAUAUCAAGAGGAACACCUGAGGUGAAGACGGGUUGCUGGGCCAACACUGACGCUGAGGCGCGAAAGCCAGGGGAGCAAACGGG